CAGCCGCCACGGGAAUACAGAGGGUGCAAGCGUUAAUCGGAAUUACUGGGCGUAAAGCGCGCGUAGGUGGUUUGUUAAGUUGGAUGUGAAAGCCCCGGGCUCAACCUGGGAACUGCAUCCAAAACUGGCAAGCUAGAGUACGGUAGAGGGUGGUGGAAUUUCCUGUGUAGCGGUGAAAUGCGUAGAUAUAGGAAGGAACACCAGUGGCGAAGGCGACCACCUGGACUGAUACUGACACUGAGGUGCGAAAGCGUGAGGAGCAAACAGGAUUAGAUACCCCGGUAGUCCCUGUCUCUUAUAC
This 301-nucleotide ribosomal RNA is filed under the name uncultured bacterium. RNAcentral's name for it is "partial 16S ribosomal RNA". It matches the Rfam family "Bacterial small subunit ribosomal RNA", at positions 509 to 807 of the family's 1533-position model. The record is from RNAcentral.